UGGGGAAUAUUGGACAAUGGGGGCAACCCUGAUCCAGCAAUGCCGCGUGUGUGAAGAAGGCCUGCGGGUUGUAAAGCACUUUCAGUGGGGAAGAAAAGGUACGGGAUAAUACCCCGGGCUCUUGACGUCACCCACAGAAGAAGCACCGGCUAACUCCGUGCCAGCAGCCGCGGUAAUACGGAGGGUGCGAGCGUUAAUCGGAAUUACUGGGCGUAAAGCGCACGUAGGUGGUGUGUCAAGUCGGAUGUGAAGGCCCUGGGCUUAACCUGGGAACUGCAUUCGAAACUGACUCACUAGAGUAUGGGAGAGGGAAGUGGAAUUUCCGGUGUAGCGGUGAAAUGCGUAGAUAUCGGAAGGAACACCAGUGGCGAAGGCGACUUCCUGGACCAAUACUGACACUGAGGUGCGAAAGCGUGGGGAGCAAACAGGAUUAGAUACCCGGAUAGUCC
RNAcentral lists this ribosomal RNA (449 nucleotides) under uncultured prokaryote. RNAcentral's name for it is "bacterial SSU rRNA". It matches the Rfam family "Bacterial small subunit ribosomal RNA", at positions 355 to 796 of the family's 1533-position model. The record is from RNAcentral.